Molecule: ribosomal RNA, 870 nt
Filed under: uncultured marine bacterium
Lineage: Bacteria
Description: bacterial SSU rRNA
Rfam family: Bacterial small subunit ribosomal RNA
Source: RNAcentral
CUGGCGGCAGGCCUAAUACAUGCAAGUCGAGCGCGCCCUUCGGGGUGAGCGGCGGACGGGUGAGUAACGCGUGGGAAUAUGCCCUUCUCUAAGGAAUAGCCUCUGGAAACGGAGAGUAAUACCUUAUACGCCCUUUGGGGGAAAGAUUUAUCGGAGAAGGAUUAGCCCGCGUUAGAUUAGGUAGUUGGUGGGGUAAUGGCCUACCAAGCCUACGAUCUAUAGCUGGUUUGAGAGGAUGAUCAGCCACACUGGGACUGAGACACGGCCCAGACUCCUACGGGAGGCAGCAGUAGGGAAUCUUAGACAAUGGGGGCAACCCUGAUCUAGCCAUGCCGCGUGUGUGAUGAAGGCCCUAGGGUCGUAAAGCACUUUCGCCAGAGAUGAUAAUGACAGUAUCUGGUAAAGAAACCCCGGCUAACUCCGUGCCAGCAGCCGCGGUAAUACGGAGGGGGUUAGCGUUGUUCGGAAUUACUGGGCGUAAAGCGCACGUAGGCGGAUUAGUAAGUUAGAGGUGAAAUCCCAGGGCUCAACCCUGGAACUGCCUUUAAUACUGCUAGUCUUGAGUUCGAGAGAGGUAAGUGGAAUUCCGAGUGUAGAGGUGAAAUUCGUAGAUAUUCGGAGGAACACCAGUGGCGAAGGCGGCUUACUGGCUCGAUACUGACGCUGAGGUGCGAAAGUGUGGGGAGCAAACAGGAUUAGAUACCCUGGUAGUCCACACCGUAAACGAUGAAUGCCAGACGUCAGCAAGUAUACUUGUUGGUGUCACACCUAACGGAUUAAGCAUUCCGCCUGGGGAGUACGGUCGCAAGGUUAAAACUCAAAUGAAUUGACGGGGCCCGCACAAGCGUGGAGCAUGUGGUUUAAUUCGAU